AGCGAGACCUUCGGGUCUAGCGGCGGACGGGUUAGUAACGCGUGGGAACGUGCCCUUUACUACGGAAUAGUCCCGGGAAACUGGGUUUAAUACCGUAUACGCCCUUCGGGGGAAAGAUUUAUCGGUGAAGGAUCGGCCCGCGUUAGAUUAGAUAGUUGGUGGGGUAAUGGCCUACCAAGUCUACGAUCUAUAGCUGGUUUGAGAGGAUGAUCAGCAACACUGGGACUGAGACACGGCCCAGACUCCUACGGGAGGCAGCAGUGGGGAAUCUUAGACAAUGGGCGCAAGCCUGAUCUAGCCAUGCCGCGUGAGUGACGAAGGCCUUAGGGUCGUAAAGCUCUUUCGCCAGGGAUGAUAAUGACAGUACCUGGUAAAGAAACCCCGGCUAACUCCGUGCCAGCAGCCGCGGUAAUACGGAGGGGGUUAGCGUUGUUCGGAAUUACUGGGCGUAAAGCGCACGUAGGCGGACUGGAAAGUUGGGGGUGAAAUCCCGGGGCUCAACCUCGGAACUGCCUCCAAAACUACUAGUCUAGAGUUCGAGAGAGGUGAGUGGAAUUCCGAGUGUAGAGGUGAAAUUCGUAGAUAUUCGGAGGAACACCAGUGGCGAAGGCGGC
This 614-nucleotide ribosomal RNA is filed under the name uncultured bacterium. Its description in RNAcentral is "bacterial SSU rRNA". It matches the Rfam family "Bacterial small subunit ribosomal RNA", at positions 65 to 725 of the family's 1533-position model. The record is from RNAcentral.